UGGAAGGAUAGCGAAGAGGCUAAACGCGGCGGACUGUAAAUCCGCUCCUUCGGGUUCGGGGGUUCGAAUCCCUCCCCUUNNNN
RNAcentral lists this transfer RNA (83 nucleotides) under Streptococcus pneumoniae. RNAcentral's name for it is "tRNA-Tyr(gta)". It matches the Rfam family "tRNA". From Rfam's summary of the family: Transfer RNA (tRNA) molecules are approximately 80 nucleotides in length. Their secondary structure includes four short double-helical elements and three loops (D, anti-codon, and T loops). Lineage: Bacteria; Bacillati; Bacillota; Bacilli; Lactobacillales; Streptococcaceae. The record is from RNAcentral.